This is a long non-coding RNA of Maniola jurtina (meadow brown), 1629 nucleotides long. RefSeq lists it as uncharacterized. NCBI's taxonomy places the organism in Eukaryota, Metazoa, Arthropoda, Insecta, Lepidoptera, Nymphalidae. The transcript is spliced from 3 exons. The record is from RefSeq and is a predicted model, not a curated record.
CACAUGUCAAAGAAAAAUAAAUAUGGCUGUUUGUUAAUUAUUUUCUAUGUAUUUUCUUCAUUAUUCAUUUUUCUCAUGAAGAUUAUGAUUCCCUACAGGUUACAGUUACUUUUUAUUUACGCUUAGUAUUGUGCUUAAAUGUGAUCUCAGUGCAAUCAUUUAUUGCCUAAAGAUACCUAAAUUCAGCGAUGUAAAUGCCUAAAUUGAACUAACUUCGAGUGAGAGUUCAGAGGCAGUGUUCUGUGUUGUUUCUGGGCGUAAAAACACGUCCAAUUUACUCAAAGUGUGAUUUACAAACACAACAAUAAACUGCAAGUAGAUGUGCAUUUCUCCGCAAAAAUUCCCAAGGAGUUGACCACUGGAACCCAACGUGCUCUGCUCUAUGGUACUUCAUCGUAUGGCUAUGUGCUUCAUAUGGCGCACGGAGUUUGAGAGCCACACAAUUGACUGACAAAGGUUUAGGCCAUAGUCCACCAUGCUGCCCAAGUGCUGAUUGGCAGACUUCACUCACCUUUGAGAACAAUAUGGUGAACUCACAGGUCAAAGCUGCACAAGUCUUCAGCAAACAGGUAUCUGCGACCUUCACAAAUAAGAUGGGGGCAUAUGAAGAGCUGCAAUUAGUACAUAACCACUACAUUGUUUUCUAUCUGUUAACAUUGAUAGUGGCUUCUUCACUGCUGAGAUCACCUUUUUCAUAAACAAUUUGUUUGACAGCAUGCCUGUGCCUGUUAUACUAGAGGCGAAAUAUCACAUGCUUUAUCCUUGAAUUCAACUCAUUUAGAGUAACUCAUUAAGAGUAUGGAAAUAAUGCAUUGAAGAAACUAUCAUCAUAAUAGAUAGAAUCAUUGAAGAAACUAUAAUCAUUUUAAGACGCUUGAGGUUCAAGAGAAAUUAAGCCAAUCUCAUUACAAAAUUUUAUUCAUGACAUAAAAACAGUUAAGCAUCUUUGGUCAAACUAAAAAAAAAGCUAAACCAGGACCCCGGGAUUUGUAGUAUCACUAUUUUUUGCAGUAUUAUUAUCAUAAUUGUAGUUAGUUUUAACUUUUAAUUUUUAUCCCCUUCAGGAAGCCAUUAUUGUAGUUAUUUAUUGAUUGCCAUUCAUUUAUCACAAAUGUACUGAGAAGGGAUGUCCAUUUUUAAAAAUGAUGUUAUUGUUUGUUAUAUCGAUUAUCUAGGUCUACAAUAUAGAUUUUUUUAAUUUGAGUUUUGUUACUCUGAAUUGUUUAUUAUUAUUUUUAGAGCCUAUUUUUACUGUGAAUAAUAUUAUCUUUAUUUUUACCGCAUUUAUGAUUUUUUAACCUUCUCAAAUACGGAGAAAUUAAUAACACGUUUUAAUGUAGGUACUUACAUAAUUCGAAGAAAAAUAGUCUUAUCCAACCUGAACUCAAAAUAUAUUAUUAUCGAACUAAAAUUAUAGUCGUUUCCCUUUAUUUAUUCCCCCUGCAAUAAGGCUGAAGUACCUGGAACCACCACCUUAAGCCAGGAAUAUACCUGUUGGUGAGAAGAGAAAGAGAGGUCGGCCAGCUAAAUCUAAAAAAGCUUUGUUGAUUCAAUACUUUUUUCUUUUGUUAGUUUUUUAUAAAUUUUCUGUGAUUGACUGAUUAUAACUAUUGUGUUCCAUAAAGUGUG